This 497-nucleotide unclassified non-coding RNA is filed under the name Mycoplasma todarodis. RNAcentral describes it as "sequence contains ITS1". Lineage: Bacteria; Bacillati; Mycoplasmatota; Mollicutes; Mycoplasmatales; Mycoplasmataceae. The record is from RNAcentral.
CUAUGGAGUACAUCAACUUAAAGGUCAGUACAAGUCUUAAUAAUGUAGUAAUUUAUUACAAUAUAUGGUUAAGCAAAAAUCCUAUCUUUCCCAAAAGCAACGAGUAAUUCGUAUGCUGAAUGAUAGGCGGAUUUAUGGGGCAUUUUGACCAAUGCCAAUCUUGUGUCUAGUUUUGAGAGUUUUAUCUCUCUAUGAUAGUUCUUUGAAAACUGAAUAGCAGACAUAAAAGUAUGUAACAACGUUAAAUAUCAUUAGAUUUUUAACAGCUUACAUCGAGUCACACCAUUAUUGGUAUUUUUUAAAUGCUAAUAAUGAGUGUAACAAACCAAUAAAACAACAACAGUAUUCAUAUGUAUUUAUAUAUAUGAGUACGAUCUCAAGAUAAAAAUUAAAAUAUUCGUAUUUUAAAUUUUCGUCAAUGAUAAAUAAAAUCAAAUAGAUAACCUUAAGAUAUAAAUCAAAAAUAGGUCCAACUUAAUUGUUGGACGUUACUAAAA